AUUGAACGCUGGCGGCAGGCCUAACACAUGCAAGUCGAGCGGAUGAAGGGAGCUUGCUCCUGGAUUCAGCGGCGGACGGGGGAGUAAUGCCUAGGAAUCUGCCUGGUAGUGGGGGAUAACGUCCGGAAACGGGCGCUAAUACCGCAUACGUCCUGCGGGAGAAAGUGGGGGAUCUUCGGACCUCACGCUAUCAGAUGAGCCUAGGUCGGAUUAGCUAGUUGGUGGGGUAAAGGCCUACCAAGGCGACGAUCCGUAACUGGUCUGAGAGGAUGAUCAGUCACACUGGAACUGAGACACGGUCCAGACUCCUACGGGAGGCAGCAGUGGGGAAUAUUGGACAAUGGGCGAAAGCCUGAUCCAGCCAUGCCGCGUGUGUGAAGAAGGUCUUCGGAUUGUAAAGCACUUUAAGUUGGGAGGAAGGGCAGUAAGUUAAUACCUUGCUGUUUUGACGUUACCAACAGAAUAAGCACCGGCUAACUUCGUG
This 484-nucleotide ribosomal RNA is filed under the name uncultured bacterium. Its description in RNAcentral is "partial 16S ribosomal RNA". It matches the Rfam family "Bacterial small subunit ribosomal RNA", at positions 30 to 507 of the family's 1533-position model. The record is from RNAcentral.